Molecule: ribosomal RNA, 657 nt
Filed under: uncultured Methanosarcinales archaeon
Lineage: Archaea; Methanobacteriati; Methanobacteriota; Methanomicrobia; Methanosarcinales
Description: bacterial SSU rRNA
Rfam family: Archaeal small subunit ribosomal RNA
Source: RNAcentral
AAACCCGGGAAACGGGUAUAAUCCCUGAUAGUCCUCGAACGCUGGAAUGCAUCGAGGACGAAAGCUCCGGCGCCUGAGGAUGGGUCUGCGGCCUAUCAGGUAGUAGUGGGUGUAACGUACCUACUAGCCUACGACGGGUACGGGUUGUGAGAGCAAGAGCCCGGAGAUGGAUUCUGAGACACGAAUCCAGGCCCUACGGGGUGCAGCAGGCGCGAAAACUUUACAAUGCCGGCAACGGCGAUAAGGGGACCUCGAGUGCCAGGUUACAAAUCUGGCUGUCGUGAUGCCUAAAAAGCAUUGCAUAGCAAGGGCCGGGCAAGACCGGUGCCAGCCGCCGCGGUAACACCGGCGGCUCGAGUGGUAACCGUUAUUAUUGGGUCUAAAGGGUCUGUAGCCGGCCGGAUAAGUCUCUUGGGAAAUCCAGCAGCUCAACUGUUGGGCUUUCAGGAGAUACUGUUCGGCUCGAGGCCGGGAGAGGUGAGAGGUACUUCAGGGGUAGGGGUGAAAUCUUGUAAUCCUUGAAGGACCACCAGUGGCGAAGGCGUCUCACCAGAACGGACCUGACGGCAAGGGACGAAAGCUAGGGGCACGAACCGGAUUAGAUACCCGGGUAGUCCUAGCCGUAAACGAUACUCGCUAGGUGUCGGCCACGGUGCG